GAUGAACGCUGGCGGCGUGCCUAAUACAUGCAAGUCGAGCGAACAGAUAAGGAGCUUGCUCCUUUGACGUUAGCGGCGGACGGGUGAGUAACACGUGUGUAACCUACCUAUAAGACUGGGAUAACUUCGGGAAACCGGAGCUUAUACCGUAUAAUAUUUCGAACCGCAUGGUUCGAUAGUGGAAGAUGGUUUUGCUAUCACUUAUAGAUGGACCCGCGCCGUAUUAGCUAGUUGGUAAGGUAACGGCUCACCAAGGCGACGAUACGUAGCCGACCUGAGAGGGUGGUAGGCCACACUGGAGGGGAGACACGGACAAGAGUCCUGAGGGAGGCAGCAGUAGGGAAUCGUACGCAAUGGGCGAAAGCAUGACGGAGCAAGGCGAAGUGAGUGAUGAAGGUCUUCGGAGCGUAAAACUCUGUUAUUAGGGAAGAACAUAUGUGUAAGUAACUGUGCACGGCUUGACGGUAACUAAUCAGAAAGCAACGGCUAACUACGUG
Molecule: ribosomal RNA, 497 nt
Filed under: uncultured bacterium
Lineage: Bacteria
Description: partial 16S ribosomal RNA
Rfam family: Bacterial small subunit ribosomal RNA
Source: RNAcentral